RNAcentral lists this ribosomal RNA (447 nucleotides) under uncultured bacterium. Its description in RNAcentral is "partial 16S ribosomal RNA". It matches the Rfam family "Bacterial small subunit ribosomal RNA", at positions 328 to 792 of the family's 1533-position model. The record is from RNAcentral.
AGGCCAGACUCCUACGGGAGGCAGCAGUGGGGAAUAUUGCACAAUGGGGGGAACCCUGAUGCAGCGACGCCGCGUGGGUGAAGGAGCACCUCGGUGCGUAAAGCCCUAUCGGCAGGGAAGAAACAGACGGUACCUGACUAAGAAGCCACGGCUAACUACGUGCCAGCAGCCGCGGGAAUACGUAGGUGGCAAGCGUUAUCCGGAUUCACUGGGUGUAAAGGGAGCGUAGACGGCGACGCAAGUCUGGAGUGAAAGCCCGGGGCCCAACCCCGGGACUGCUCUUGGAACUGCGUGGCUGGAGUGCAGGAGGGGCAGGCGGAAUUCCUGGUGUAGCGGUGAAAUGCGUAGAUAUCAGGAGGAACACCGGUGGCGAAGGCGGCCUGCUGGACUGCAACUGACGUUGAGGCCCGAAAGCGUGGGGGGCAAACAGGAUUAGAUACCCUAGUA